ACGCUCGACACCUACGGGAGGCAGCAGGUGGGGAAUAUUGCACAAUGGGGGAAACCCGUGAUGCAGCAACGCCGCGUGAAGGAAGACGGUUUUCGGAUUGUAAACUUCUGUUCUUAGUGAAGAUAGUGACGGUAGCUAAGGAGCAAGCCACGGCUAACUACGUGCCACAGCCGCGGUAAUCUGAGCGGGCUGGCAAGGC
This 199-nucleotide ribosomal RNA is filed under the name uncultured bacterium. RNAcentral describes it as "partial 16S ribosomal RNA". It matches the Rfam family "Bacterial small subunit ribosomal RNA", at positions 328 to 539 of the family's 1533-position model. The record is from RNAcentral.